CCAGACUCCUACGGGAGGCAGCAGUGGGGAAUAUUGCACAAUGGGGGAAACCCUGAUGCAGCGACGCCGCGUGAGUGAAGAAGUAUUUCGGUAUGUAAAGCUCUAUCAGCAGGGAAGAAAAUGACGGUACCUGAAGAAGAAGCCCCGGCUAACUACGUGCCAGCAGCCGCGGUAAUACGUAGGGGGCAAGCGUUAUCCGGAUUUACUGGGUGUAAAGGGGGCGCAGACGGCGAUGCAAGCCAGGAGUGAAAGCCCGGGGCCCAACCCCGGGACUGCUCUUGGAAACUGGCGGGCUGGAGUGCCGGAGAGGUAAGCGGAAUUCCUAGUGUAGCGGUGAAAUGCGUAGAUAUUAGGAGGAACACCAGUGGCGAAGGCGGCUUACUGGACGGCAACUGACGCUGAGGCUCGAAAGCGCGGGGAGCAAACAGGAUUAGAUACCCCGGUA
Molecule: ribosomal RNA, 445 nt
Filed under: uncultured bacterium
Lineage: Bacteria
Description: partial 16S ribosomal RNA
Rfam family: Bacterial small subunit ribosomal RNA
Source: RNAcentral